AAUAGAUACCCUGGUAGUCCAUGCCGUAAACGUUGGGCACUAGGUGUGGGGCUCAUUCCACGAGUUCCGUGCCGCAGCAAACGCAUUAAGUGCCCCGCCUGGGGAGUACGGCCGCAAGGCUAAAACUCAAAGGAAUUGACGGGGGCCCGCACAAGCGGCGGAGCAUGCGGAUUAAUUCGAUGCAACGCGAAGAACCUUACCAAGGCUUGACAUGCACGGGAAGCCACCAGAGAUGGUGGUCUCUUUGGACACUCGUGCACAGGUGGUGCAUGGUUGUCGUCAGCUCGUGUCGUGAGAUGUUGGGUUAAGUCCCGCAACGAGCGCAACCCUCGUCCCAUGUUGCCAGCGGGUUAUGCCGGGGACUCAUGGGAGACUGCCGGGGUCAACUCGGAGGAAGGUGGGGAUGACGUCAAAUCAUCAUGCCCCUUAUGUCUUGGGCUUCACGCAUGCUACAAUGGCCGGUACAAAGGGCUGCGAUGCCGUAAGGUGAGCGAAUCCCAAAAGCCGGUCUCAGUUCGGAGUU
This 523-nucleotide ribosomal RNA is filed under the name uncultured bacterium. RNAcentral's name for it is "bacterial SSU rRNA". It matches the Rfam family "Bacterial small subunit ribosomal RNA", at positions 777 to 1300 of the family's 1533-position model. The record is from RNAcentral.